This 456-nucleotide ribosomal RNA is filed under the name uncultured bacterium. RNAcentral's name for it is "bacterial SSU rRNA". It matches the Rfam family "Bacterial small subunit ribosomal RNA", at positions 340 to 786 of the family's 1533-position model. The record is from RNAcentral.
UACGGGAAGGCAGCAGUGGGGAAUAUUGCACAAUGGGCGAAAGCCUGAUGCAGCUAUGCCGCGUGUAUGAAGAAGGCCUUAGGGUUGUAAAGUACUUUCAUCGGGGAGGAAAAACAAAACUAAUAAUUUUAUUUCUUGACGUUACCCGAAAAAGAAGCACCGGCUAACUCCGUGCCAGCAGCCGCGGUAAUACGGAGGGUGCUAGCGUUAAUCAGAAUUACUGGGCGUAAAGAGCACGUAGGUGGUUUUUUUAAAGUCAGAUGUGAAAUCCCUGGGCUUAACCUGGAACUGCAUUUUGAAACUGAAAUACUAGAGUAUCGUAGAGGGAGGUAGAAUUCUAGGUGUAGCGGUGAAAUGCGUAGAUAUCUGGAGGAAUACCUGUGGCGAAAGCGGCCUCCUAAACGAAUACUGACACUGAGGUGCGAAAGCGUGGGGAGCAAACAGGGAUUAGAUACC